CUGGGAGAGUUUGUCCUGCAGCAGAGACGGGAUGAUGGUGUUGAAGGCAGAGCUGAAGUCCACAAACAGGAUCCUGGUGUAGGUCCCUGGGGAGUCCAGAUGCUGGAGGAUGUAGUGGAGGGCCAUGUUGGCAGCACCAUCUACAGACGGAGCCGACCUACCCAACACUAACGGAAUCGGUCGACAGACUUUGCUGACGAACACAAACGGAGAGGUUCUGGUAAUGUCAGCAAGUGGAGCGGAGUCCGGUCUUCACACCGAGCUCACAGCGUCAGGUCUUGGACUUCAGCCAAAUGUCACAGUGUCGCCCCUCGCUGUCCUCCACACAGACACACUGCCCUCAGUUUCGCAUGGGUACUCCCACACAGAGCUGGUUAGCAUGGCAACAGACUCCACAGGGACAUACACAGUUUCAGCAGAUCCAACAGGAACUCCAUUUGACUUCAGUCAUCCAGCUGUGACGGAUCACACACAGAUGGCUGGUCAAGUCACUGAACAGUACUACCCAUCUGGUCAGGGUCCUGAAGGUACAAAAAAUGUGGAAUUGGAGGAUACCUGCUGACUUCCACAUAAAGCCGCAAGUUCGAUUCCUGCGCUACAGCUUCCAGUGUACCGACAAAUCAGCAAUGCCGAGGAAAUCAACCCCCUUCCACUAGCCGUAGGCCACGCCCACUGAGUGCCAGCAACUCAUUGGUGUUUUUUUUUUAAUAUUUAAAAUGUGGAAUUCUGUUUAUAGAAUUGUA
This is a long non-coding RNA of Gasterosteus aculeatus aculeatus (three-spined stickleback), 743 nucleotides long. NCBI's taxonomy places the organism in Eukaryota, Metazoa, Chordata, Actinopteri, Perciformes, Gasterosteidae. The record is from Ensembl.